GGAAUCUUCGGCAAUGGACGAAAGUCUGACCGAGCAACGCCGCGUGAGUGAUGAAGGUUUUCGGAUCGUAAAGCUCUGUUGCCAGGGAAGAACAGCCUCGUGUUAACUGCACGGGGUGUGACGGUACCUGAGAAGAAAGACCCGGCUAACUACGUGCCAGCAGCCGCGGUAAUACGUAGGGGGCAAGCGUUGUCCGGAAUUAUUGGGCGUAAAGCGCGCGCAGGCGGUCAUUUAAGUCUGGUGUUUAAUGCAAGGGCUUAACCCUUGUUCGCAUCGGAAACUGGGUGACUUGAGUGUAGGAGAGGAAAGUGGAAUUCCACGUGUAGCGGUGAAAUGCGUAGAGAUGUGGAGGAACACCAGUGGCGAAGGCGACUUUCUGGCCUAUAACUGACGCUGAGGCGCGAAAGCGUGGGGAGCAAA
RNAcentral lists this ribosomal RNA (420 nucleotides) under uncultured bacterium. Its description in RNAcentral is "bacterial SSU rRNA". It matches the Rfam family "Bacterial small subunit ribosomal RNA", at positions 358 to 772 of the family's 1533-position model. The record is from RNAcentral.